CCACAGGUUCUAUUAAGAACCAUCUGCAAUUGGGUUUUGAACACUAU
Astyanax mexicanus (Mexican tetra) is the source of this 47-nucleotide non-coding RNA. The record is from Rfam. Lineage: Eukaryota; Metazoa; Chordata; Actinopteri; Characiformes; Acestrorhamphidae.